This 465-nucleotide ribosomal RNA is filed under the name uncultured bacterium. RNAcentral describes it as "partial 16S ribosomal RNA". It matches the Rfam family "Bacterial small subunit ribosomal RNA", at positions 28 to 507 of the family's 1533-position model. The record is from RNAcentral.
GACGAACGCUGGCGGCGUGCUUAACACAUGCAAGUCGAACGGUGAACUCCGCUUGCGGGGGGAUCAGUGGCGAACGGGUGCGUAACACGUGGGCAACCUGCCCUCAGCUCUGGGAUAACUCCAAGAAAUUGGGGCUAAUACCGGAUAUGACCGCUGACCGCAUGGUCUGGGGGUGGAAAGAUUUAUCGGCUGGGGAUGGGCCCGCGGCCUAUCAGCUUGUUGGUGGGGUAGUGGCCUACCAAGGCGACGACGGGUAGCCGGCCUGAGAGGGUGACCGGCCACACUGGGACUGAGACACGGCCCAGACUCCUACGGGAGGCAGCAGUGGGGAAUAUUGCGCAAUGGGCGAAAGCCUGACGCAGCGACGCCGCGUGGGGGAUGACGGCCUUCGGGUUGUAAACCUCUUUCAGCAGGGACGAAGCGAAAGUGACGGUACCUGCAGAAGAAGCACCGGCCAACUACGUG